CCCACUUUAUCCUCUCUAUCCUAUUGCUGAGAGGGACAUUUUGGAGUGGAGUUCUGGAAGAGUGACUUCAAACCAAACAAAAAUAGGAACAACUAGCACUUUCCUGCACUUCUGCUUAGACCUUGUGGGAAACUUCAUCCCUCAUCUCUAGAGCUCCCCUUCCUUCCAAAGUUUGCUUGGUAGUUUGUUUUUUAAACCCAAGCAUUUGGGGAAGACUACAUCAGAGAAAGUAAACUUCCUAGCCUGCCCCCAUGCCAUUUUCUCCCGUUUACCUUUUAAAUUUUAUUUAUUUAUUUUACCCCUCCGAUCAGCGGAUGAUGCACCUGCCAGUAUACUUGGCUUUCUUCAAAAGUAUUCGCGGAGUACAUUCUGUAGGAUCACGUCGGGGUCAGACUUAAGAGCUUUCUCUCCUCAACUGGAUCAGAGGAAGAGUUUCUUCCCCGCCCCACCCCUGGUUGGGGGUGGGGAGGGAAGUAUGUAUGUCUUUGUGUGGGGUGGGUCUCUUGAGAUUGGAGCACUGAGGUCUUUUGGCUUUUGGACUGAUGAUGUGAGUGACUUUUGAUCGGAGCCGAAUUUGUCCUUUGGAUAGAGGUUUUAGAGGUCUUAAAAAAUGGAGAUCUAUUCCUUUAUCAAAUUGGUCAGCAUUGGCUUUUAAGGGGGCACAUGAGAAUAUUAAUCAUCCUUAAGUCAGGCCUUCCAUUAUUAAUUAUGAAUCUCUUCAGAUGAGAAUGCUAAUUCACACAGUACCUACAUUAUCUCCUUUGAUUCUCUCAGCAACUUUGUAAGGUAUACUACAACUGGGUAAUGAAGACUCUGCAGCAUUGUCAUCAGUAUUUUUACCUCUUAUGUCUAUAUAUAGCC
This is a non-coding RNA of Phascolarctos cinereus (koala), 861 nucleotides long. The record is from RefSeq and is a predicted model, not a curated record. Lineage: Eukaryota; Metazoa; Chordata; Mammalia; Diprotodontia; Phascolarctidae.